AGUUUGAUCAUGGCUCAAAUGAACGCUGGCGGCACGCUUAAUACAUGCAAGUCGAGGGACAACGGGUUUGUAGCAAUACGAAUGCUGGCGACCGGCUGACGAGUGCUGAACACAUACACCACCUUCAUUUAGAUGGGGAGUAGCCCAGAGAAAUUUGGAUUAAUACCCCGUAAUUUUAUGAUGAGGGAUCACAUUAUCAUUAUAGCUCCGGCGCUUAAUGAUGGGUGUGCGGGUGAUUACGUAUUUGGGGGGAUAACGGCCCUCCAAGCCUGCGAUCAGUAACUGGGGUGAGAGCAGAACAAGUCACACGGUCACUGAGACACGGGCCCGACUCCUACAGGAGGCAGCACUAAGGAAUAUUGUGCAAUGGAGGCAACUCUGACCCACCCAUGCCGCGUGUAGGAUAAAAGCCCUCUGGGUUGGAAACUUCUUUUAUUUGGGACAAAAAAGGGCUUUUCUAAGUCAACUGACGGUACCAGAUGAAUAAGCACCGGCUAACUCCGUGCCAGCAGCCGCGGUAAUACGGAGGGUGCAAGCGUUAUCCGGAUUCACUGGGUUUAAAGGGUGCGUAGGUGGGUUGGUAAGUCAGUGGUGAAGUCCCCGAUCUUAACUUGGGAACUGCCAUUGAUACUAUCAGUCUUGAAUAUUGUGGAGGUCAGCGGACUAUGUCAUGUAGCGGUGAUCUGCUUACAUAUGACAUAGAACACCAAUUGCGAAGGCAGCUGGCUACACAUAUAUCGACACUGAGGCACGACAGCGUGGCGAUCGACAGGAUUAGAUACCCUGGUAGUCCA
RNAcentral lists this ribosomal RNA (794 nucleotides) under uncultured bacterium. RNAcentral's name for it is "bacterial SSU rRNA". It matches the Rfam family "Bacterial small subunit ribosomal RNA", at positions 10 to 797 of the family's 1533-position model. The record is from RNAcentral.